AAGGGACUGUGUGCUGAAGGUUUGUUGGAUAAGAGUCGGGAGUUGUUGGAUGAGGUUAUGAGGUAUGGUGUUGGGGUCACUCCUGCCUUGCGUGAAUCUGUGACCAAGGUUUUCAAAAAUGCUGGGAAAGGCGAAGAGAUUGAGAGGCUGCUAGAUACGAACCGAAUUGGAUACAAUUCCCGUCCAAGACCUGCAUACCGUCCACCACCGGCAAGGUACCCUUCUCAAUUGGAUAGAACACAUAACCCAACUUAUGGGCAUCCACAACAGCGCCCACCACUGCCUUCUGCUCAGAUGGCUGGAGUGCACAGCCCACCUUCUGAGUUUCCAUCUCAAAUGGCAGCACCUCAGAGAUACCAAACACGUUCUUCUCAAGUUGCAGGAACACAUAACCAAUCUUCUGGGUUUCAAAAUUCCCCUCCACACUUUGAUACUCGAAUUGGUGGAACACACAACCCGCUUUCUGAGUUUCCUUCUCAAACGGCAGCAUAUCAACGAUACCAAACAUCACCUUCUCAAGUGGCAGGAACACAUAACCAACCGUCUGGAUUUCAAAAUUCCCCUCCACACUUUGAUACUCAAAUUGGUGGAACACACAACCUGCUUUCUGAGUUUCCUUCUCAAACGGCAGCACAUCAACGAUACCAAACAUCACCUUCUCAAGUGGCAGGAACACAUAACCAACCGUCUGGAUUUCUGGCCCAAAUGGCAGCACAGAAUUCCCCACCACACUUCGAUACUCGAAUGGCUGGAGCAGAUAACAACCACUUUUCCUCGGGAUAUCCACCUCAAAUUUCAGGGCAGCAACGCCCACCACUG
This 819-nucleotide long non-coding RNA is filed under the name Medicago truncatula (barrel medic). RNAcentral describes it as "long non-coding RNA (MTRU_LNC006706)". The record is from RNAcentral. Lineage: Eukaryota; Viridiplantae; Streptophyta; Magnoliopsida; Fabales; Fabaceae.